CGCGCACCCACUGACCUGGGCCCACUGUCUGGCACUCCCUAGUGAGAUGGACCCGGUACCUCAGAUGGAAAUGCAGAAAUCACCCGUCUUCUGCGUCGCUCCGAAAGAGUGGACCAGGAGGAGUUUUCAGAGGAGUCUGUGAUAGGCGCUUUGUGACUCCAGGACACGUUGAGAUUAUUUUGCCCUUCUGCCUUCUUCCAUGGGAAAUACAGCAAGAAAGCCCUCGCCACAUGCAGCCCCUCCAUGUUGGACUUCCCAGUCUUCAGAACCAUGAGCCAAAUAAACUUCUAUUGUUUAUAAAUUACUAAGUCUCAGGCAUCUUGUUACAGGAGCACAAAAUGGACUAAGACAUUUAGUAAUGUGAAAUGCAUUGAAGUAUGCUUUGUACAUGAUAAGCACUGAUUAAAUAUUAAAGAUCCUUAUUAGUAUCUUGCAUUGUUACCUCUCUUAUAAUAAUUUAAAAGUUAUAAAACCAAAAGCCUUCGAACUGUAAAAAGAGACUUUGAGGUCUUCAUUUCACUAAUAAUAAAAGUGAAGUCCAAAAAGAUUAAAAAACUUUCUCAGGGCAACACAGCAACUUAAUGACAGGUGAGAAACAUGACCCUGUUUUCUGACCAGUGUUUUAAGGCUUUCACUGUUCUAGUCACUGAUAAUUUGUGGUGACCAACACUGAAAUCAGUGAUUCAUUUCACAGAUAAAAUAUAAAUUAAAAGUUCAUAAGCCUAUGAAUUGGUAGACUAAAAACC
RNAcentral lists this long non-coding RNA (746 nucleotides) under Homo sapiens (human). RNAcentral describes it as "HSALNT0009470". The record is from RNAcentral. Lineage: Eukaryota; Metazoa; Chordata; Mammalia; Primates; Hominidae.